This is a non-coding RNA of Acanthosepion pharaonis, 109 nucleotides long. Lineage: Eukaryota; Metazoa; Mollusca; Cephalopoda; Sepiida; Sepiidae. The record is from the annotation of a GenBank genome assembly.
UUACGACCAUAUCACGUUGAAACACCAGUUCCCGUACGAUUACUGAAGUUAAGUAACAUCGAGCUUGGCCAGUACCGAGUGACUGCUUCGGAAUACCAGGUGAUGCAAG